RNAcentral lists this ribosomal RNA (468 nucleotides) under uncultured bacterium. RNAcentral describes it as "partial 16S ribosomal RNA". It matches the Rfam family "Bacterial small subunit ribosomal RNA", at positions 28 to 507 of the family's 1533-position model. The record is from RNAcentral.
GACGAACGCUGGCGGCGUGCUUAACACAUGCAAGUCGAACGGAGAGGCCCUGCAUCGGUGGGUCGCCCGAGUGGCGAACGGGUGAGUAACCAGAGGGUAACGUGCCGUGUACGCAAGGAAAACCUCAGAAAACUGUGGCUAAUAGCGGCUGGGAGCUCCUGCUGCUAGGAGGGGGACGGAACGUUUCGGCGGUUGGGGAUGUACUCGCGUCUGAUCAGCUUGUUGGUGUGGUAGUGGCUUACCAAGGCUUUGACGGGUAGCCGGCCUGAGAGGGUGACCGGCCACAUUGGGACUGAGAUACGGCCCAGACUCCUACGGGAGGCAGCAGUGGGGAAUAUUGCACAAUGGGCGGAAGCCUGCUGCAGCAACGCCGCGUGCGGGAUGACGGCCUUCGAGUUGUAAACCGCUUUCGCCUGUGACGAAGCGUGAGUGACGGUAAUGGGUAAAGAAGCACCGGCUAACUACGUG